UUAUCAGGUGUUUCUGAAAGUCCGCUUUCCUGUGGUGGAUUCUAUUAAUAUUUGUUCUCUCUACCUAGUGUUUUGUUGGAAAUGUUGGAUUGGACAAUAAAGACCAUUGUGGAAAAAAGGGGCUUCAUCAAGGAAUCUUGGUGUCAUAAAAAAGGAUUGAGACUACUUAAAGAGAAAUCAGUAAAUCAUUAAAGUUUUGAGAAAAUGGGAACACCAUAUUUCUGAAAAGAUGGUCCUCUCAGGAAUGUCCAAUUUGCUGUGUUUAAUGAGCCUCUGCUUUGAGAAGUCGCAGGGCAUCCCAGGAGCUAUCUUCUUCACACCUUACCUGGAGAAGGGCUGUUUUCAUGUUAACAGGGACCAAAAAACCUUAAGUCAAAAUAAUGACACUCUAGGGAAUUAUCUUCAGGCACCAGUGAGUAAGAGGAAGAAGUAUAUUUCAGAGCACUGGUCCCUGUUCAGCAUCCCAGAAAUAAUACGAUGUGAACAGAUGACUACUCCAGCUAAAUAAAAGAAAAAGUGGCCUGAUCAGAUCUGGAUUACUUUCUAACAUAUGAUAAUUCUUAUGAAUUAAAAUUAACUUCUGAC
Non-coding RNA from Microcebus murinus (gray mouse lemur), 585 nucleotides. The record is from RefSeq and is a predicted model, not a curated record. NCBI's taxonomy places the organism in Eukaryota, Metazoa, Chordata, Mammalia, Primates, Cheirogaleidae.